This 67-nucleotide transfer RNA is filed under the name Tarsiger cyanurus (orange-flanked bush-robin). RNAcentral describes it as "tRNA-Cys". The record is from RNAcentral. Lineage: Eukaryota; Metazoa; Chordata; Aves; Passeriformes; Muscicapidae.
GGCUCUGUGGUGAAGUUCAUGGUGAGUUGCAAGCUCAUUGAUGUACGCUGAUUGCGUGCCGGAGUCU